CACCAAGACAGCGAAUCCAAUUCGGGUUCGAAUCCGGGCCCCAGGUCAAACUACUUGAUCGUUCGGCCUCACCGAGGUGGCUACAGAGACCUUUUUCGAUACGGUGUGAGAGGAGACGAAACUAGCAAAAACAAGUUCCUCGAACGACCUGAUGAUCACUCCGACAGGACCACAUCCGCGAUCAAUGUACAAGCCGAUGAUCACCGAUGGGUCAUCGUCGUCUCGAUCCUCGUCCGUAAGAUCAUCGGGCUUCUCCGCACACCAAUGGAAUACACGGGCUUGGUCGUUGACUUUGUGCUCAAUCUCUUGUCUGCGAACGGUGGCUUCUUCGGUUUGGUUCUUGGGCUGAUUAAAGGUACGAACUUUGAGAUAGAAACGGAAUAAAGAUUGGUUUUUUUUGAUGUGGGUUGAUUGUGUUUGCAGCGAAGAUAGUGGUACCAGAGAGAGGCUCUGUGGAUUUUGUUAGUACGAUUGGUCAGCUUGAUGGGAGGAUUGAUCUUUACAAAGGUUGGAGUUUCGUCGAACAGUUGGUGUGCAUGGAGGAUUCGGUUUAUUCCGGUUCUUCUGGGAGAGUUGGAAUCGAACCGGGGAGUCGUGGGCUUAUGGAUUUGUGUGUGAUGGCGUCGAAGCUUGCGUAUGAGAACGCUAAAGUUGUUGAAAACGUUGUGAAUCUCCAUUGGAAGGCAAGUUAGUCUAAAAAUAGAAACUUCAUGAGGAUAAAGUUUCCAACUUUACUAAAGUUUUGAUCUUUUAAUGACUGCAGAUGAAUCUGGUUGAGUUCUUGGAUUGUUGGAAUGGUGAGGAUUAUAUUCUCAACACUUGUGUUUACUUUUAUACAUGAACACUUUUGUGGAUGUGUGCUUUGUCUAUUUUUGUAGAUUAUCAGAAGCAGAUGUCUACACAAGUGUUUAUACUCACUGAUAAGGAGAAAGAUGCAGACUUGAUACUGAUCAGCUUCAGAGGCACUGAGCCGUUUGAUGCAGAUGACUGGGGAACAGACUUUGACUAUUCUUGGUAUGAGAUCCCCAAUGUGGGUAAGCUUCACAUGGGUUUCAUCGAAGCAAUGGGUUUAGGUACCAGAGACUACACUCCUACUUUCGACUACCAUCUCGUCGAGCUGAACUCCUCUGAGAAAGAGAAUAACCAAAAGAAUCUCCCAGAGAUGGUAGAGAGAAGCGCUUAUUACGCAGUUAGAGAAACUCUGAGACGUUUGCUUGCGGAGCACGCAAACGCCAAGUUUGUAGUCACUGGUCACAGCUUAGGAGGCGCGUUAGCGAUUCUGUUUCCCACGUUGCUGGUGUUGAAAGAGGAGACGGAGAUGAUGAGGAGGCUGCUUGGGGUUUACACUUUCGGACAGCCUAGGAUCGGGAACAGAGAGAUUGGUAGUUUCAUGAAAGCUAAACUGAAUCACCCUGUAGAUAGAUACUUUCGUGUUGUGUACUGCAACGAUCUUGUCCCGAGAUUGCCUUACGACGACACAACGUUCCUCUACAAGCAUUUCGGAGUCUGUCUUUACUACGACAGUUUCUACAACGAGACAGUAAUGUUCUCAUCACUAAAAAACAAUCUUUACAUGUUUUAGGUUUGGACUUAAACUAAUGAUUGGUUCUUCUUGCAUGUUUGACAGAGAGCAGAGGAUGAACCGGAUCCGAACCCUUACGGUAUGCGUUAUGCGGUUCUUGCUCAUGUAAACGCGGUUUGGGAGUUGGUUAGAGGUUUGAUGAUGGGGUUCAUUUAUGGACCGGGUUAUAGAGAAGGAUGGUUUAGGAUCUUGUUUAGGCUCAUAGGACUGAUGAUUCCAGGCCUCUCGGAUCAUUGCCCGACUGAUUAUGUUAACUCGGUUAGGCUUGGACCAGAUUAUGACCUUCAGAUGUCUCCUCUUUGAAGAGUGCUCUGUUUUUUUUGAACCGGAACUUGGUUCCUGGAAUAAAUCUUGACUGAACCAGGACUCGGUUAAGAUGUAGGUUUGUAAAUAGAAUAAGACAAAAACAAGUUCCUCGAACGACCUGAUGAUCACUCCGACAGGACCACAUCCGCGAUCAAUGUACAAGCCGAUGAUCACCGAUGGGUCAUCGUCGUCUCGAUCCUCGUCCGUAAGAUCAUCGGGCUUCUCCGCACACCAAUGGAAUAC
RNAcentral lists this long non-coding RNA (2131 nucleotides) under Brassica napus (rape). RNAcentral's name for it is "long non-coding RNA (BNAP_LNC012611)". The record is from RNAcentral. Lineage: Eukaryota; Viridiplantae; Streptophyta; Magnoliopsida; Brassicales; Brassicaceae.